UGGGGUAUAGCUCAGUGGUAGAGCACUUGCCUGACAUGUAUGAGACCCUGGAUUUUAUAUCCAGCACUGUGG
RNAcentral lists this transfer RNA (72 nucleotides) under Cavia porcellus (domestic guinea pig). It matches the Rfam family "tRNA". Rfam says of the family: Transfer RNA (tRNA) molecules are approximately 80 nucleotides in length. Their secondary structure includes four short double-helical elements and three loops (D, anti-codon, and T loops). The record is from Rfam by way of RNAcentral. Lineage: Eukaryota; Metazoa; Chordata; Mammalia; Rodentia; Caviidae.